This 283-nucleotide long non-coding RNA is filed under the name Bos taurus (domestic cattle). RNAcentral's name for it is "long non-coding RNA NONBTAT011942". Lineage: Eukaryota; Metazoa; Chordata; Mammalia; Artiodactyla; Bovidae. The record is from RNAcentral.
CCCCAUUUCCCUCUGGUUCUGGGUUGGGCGCUAGAGACCCCCCAGGGACUGAACUUUAAAGCAGAAUUGGAAGAAGUUGAUCUGGCACUAGUCUUUUCAAGACUGAGUCCUCAAGCUUGAUUAAGGAUGAUUAAUCUCCUGGAGGAGUCAUUCCCUCAAGUCUGAGGAAUUUGGACUUGAUGAUUGCUCUUAGGGAGUGACUGUAAGUCACGAAGUGGUAACAGUUGUUCUGAAUUUUGUGUACUAUUUAAAAUGAAAGCAGUAUGUGAGGCCCCUGGUUGCU